AUAUCAACCGCGUCAGGGCGACGAUGCUUCGACGCUGUGACAUACCUCCCUGUUGGACUUGGCCGAGCCUCGCGCUCGGCUUUUUUU
Molecule: non-coding RNA, 87 nt
Filed under: Oceanicella actignis
Lineage: Bacteria; Pseudomonadati; Pseudomonadota; Alphaproteobacteria; Rhodobacterales; Paracoccaceae
Description: Singlet oxygen resistance RNA X
Rfam family: Singlet oxygen resistance RNA X
About the family: SorX (RSs2461)like SorY is a singlet oxygen induced sRNA that counteracts oxidative stress by targeting mRNA for a transporter in Rhodobacter. It also has an impact on resistance against organic hydroperoxides. It targets SD sequence of potA mRNA via an aSD sequence.
Source: Rfam by way of RNAcentral